UUUUCCCGAAUUCUCGAUUUUGUUCUUCUCAAACGUGAUAAGAGCCAUAUUUAUAGAGCAGUCCGUCCUAUCGGUGCUGACAUCAGGAAGUUCAAUGGACAAAUAUUUAAAAAAUCGUCGUUAAACAUUUAAAUAUCGGUGUCUAAAUAUCGGUUAAGUUACCGAUAUACUCGCACUGAUAGUAACAUGUACGAAGGAGGUCGGUUAAACAAUAUCGGUUUAUAAUCAAUACAUGUUGCCGACAUCAUUCUAUAUUGUCGUAUCGGUGACCGAUAUUUAUAGACCAGACAUGUACAAUCGGUGCUGACAUUGGGAAGUGCAACGGACAUAUAUUUAAUUUUUUCGUCAUAACCAUUUAAAUAUCGGUGUAUACAUAUUGGUUAAGUAACCGAACAUAGUGACCGAUAUACAUCAACUAAUAUAUUGGUUACUUUGUAUUGGUUUAAAUCCGAUACAAGUAACCGAUAUUAUAUUGGUUAUAUAUUAUGUAUUGGGAAGUCUGCAACGGACAUCAUUAUUGAUAUCUGUUGAGUAUAGAUAGGAAUGCAUUUAAUUCCAGUCGCCAACGUGUCCUAUCGGUGUAGACAUUGGGAAGUGAACCGUUUUAAUAUUAAAUUCACUUAAAUAUUUCAAUAUCGGUUAAACCACAUCGGUUUGUAAUCGAUAAACGUUGCCGACAUCGCUGGACUUUGUGAUAUCGGCGUAACGAUAUCGGCGACAUACAUUGAUUUUUACCAAUAUAUCGUAACCGAUAUCCUAAUAGCCACAUCGGUUUAUAUUAUAUCGGUAAAGAUGGUUCGGUUUGGAUAUCGAUACGAUUUAUCGAUAUCAAUAAAAAAUUUGAAUUUUUUCCGACAUAUGCACUGACCGAUACACCCAUCGAUUGGACUAUUUUUUUACUGGACACAAAUGCCCUUCCCGCUAAAACGGGACUCUUCAUCAUCUUGGUUGCACUUCGACUGCUCCAACAUCGACGUCGCUCUUGCUUCCCAUUUGCGCCUGAUAUUGAAGUUCUGAAGAGGUUACAUCGACAAGGAUCAUUGCUAUUAUUUGCUUCUGAUGGCGCGCUCACGUCGUGUGUCGUUUGAGAGAGAAGAACAGUGAUAAGAUGGAAACUUCGGCGAAUAACACGGAGAAGAAGACGGCAAGGGAUAAGGACUUGGAGGUCAACAAGUAUUUCACCGCCAGAGUCACGCGAAAUGAUCAUUUUGAAGGCACCGUUGAUGGCAUUCGGACUAUACUGAAGCAGAAUCCUCGCCUGGAGGAACAGUUUAAGGCAUCUGCUUUUGGCCAGAUUGUAUAUGGGGUACAUGGAAUAACUUGGAGCAUUCAGUUAGUCCACAGGCUAUUGUUAAGCCUGUUGCAAAAGACAGACGAGGAAGGAUCAUUGUUCUUCAGGGUCAGAGGUCAGGAAAUAAAAUUUUGGAGGGAGGAGUUUGCGCUGAUCACGGGGUUGAAGUUUGGCAACAGCGAAGCAGCGAAGCGAAAAAUCAUGUUGAAGGAGCCCCCACAAAUAUUUGCCAGGUUUUUCCCCGAUUACAACCAAAAGAUUGGGGUUUCAGGGUCGAGGUUAAUGAAGGUGUUUCAUCAGAAUAUUGUUAGCGGAAAGGUGGAGUGUUCUGAUGACGAGCUCCUAUCCAUAUCAUAUCUGAUGAUGAUGUGGGAAAUAAAUUCCAAGGCUCAUGCCACGAAGGUGGAUAUCAGGUAUUUUCACCUGGCCACUCAUUGGGAUGAGUUGAACCGAUUCCCUUGGACAACCGACUCCUUUAUCACAACUACAGAGAGUGCCAGAAAAGGCAUAUUGAAUGGGUUCAAACAGAACGCUAAGAAGAAGACGUAUUCCAUUGGAGGUUUCCCACUUACCAUACAGAUCUUUUUGUUUGAGGUCAUGCCACAUUUGGUUGACUUGAAAAUUGUGAAAAGAAUAAGAGAAGGCCCUCAAGCUCAAAGAAUAAAGAAAUGGAAACUUUAUCCUUCGAAGAUCUCCCAAGAAGAUAUUACGAAGCUUGGAAUUUUUAAAAAAAUGUUAUCCAUAUGGUGCCAACAGAAGAGGAGAUGCGUGCAGAUUAUUUUUACAACGCACAUGAUGUGGAGGUUGAAGAAGAAGAAGAAGCUGAAGAAGAAGAAGGGGAGGAGGAGAAAAUAUCGUUGAAGGAGAAGGAAUGGGUGAAAAUGUGGUUUGAAGCAGAAGAAAAAGAAGAACGAAGUGGUGAAUUAAAGAAAAUGCUUGUGGAGCCGAAGAAAAUAAAAACUUUAAAGAACUAUUUACAAUGUAUAAAGAAUGAAAUUGGGGAAGUUAGUGGGGAAGUUCAGGAUUUGAAAAUGGAGAUCAGAAUGAUGAAAAUGGAGGUGAAUAGAGAGAUUGGAAUGAUGAAGAUGGAGGUGAAGAGGGAUAUAGGUAACAUUAUGGAUUUGUUAAAAAUAUUCCGGGGGAAGGUGAGAUUAUGGGGGAGAGGAAAAAUGGGGAUGGGGAGGGGAAUGAAAUGGAGGUGGAGAAGGUGGGGGAUGGGGGGAAGGUGGAGGAGGGGAAGGAUGUGGAGGUGGGGCUGGAAAUGGAGGGGCCGAAGGUGGAGAAGGUGGAGGGUUGGAGAAGGUGGAGGUGGGGAAGGAUGUGGAGGCAGGGCUGGAAAUGGAGGGGCCGAAGGUGGAGGAGGUGAAGGUGGGGAAGGAGGUGGAGGUGGGGCUGGAAAUGGAGGGGCCGAACGUGGAGAAGGUGGAGGAGGGGGAUAAGGUGGAGAUGGGGAAGGAUGUGGAGACGGAGAAGGUGGAGAAUGAGAAGGAGACGGAGAAUGUAGAGGAGAAAAAGGAGGGUAUGACGGAUGUGUCCUUAGAAGUAGUCAGUCCAACAAGUCUUAUUAAGGCGACGUAUAAAAAGAGACGUACGCAGAAGGGGCAGAAAAGAAAAAGGCUAAUUGAAUCAAUAUUGAAGCCCGAUGCUGAAACGGAGGACAAAGAACCACCCACAUACACCUCCAAGCUUGACAAGCUGAGCCCCCUAGACAUAAGUGCUCCAACUGGUAUUAUUUGGGAGUCCUUUGAAAAAUAUAUGAAAAAGCCAAAUAGUUGGACAUCAACUAUAAUCGCAACCUGCUGUUCAAUGAAUAAGGACUUUUUUGAAACAUUCACCAGACCGGACAAGUGGCUCCAAUCUGAGGUAAGUAAUUCUCUAAUUGUGUAGUAAUUCUGCUAUUGGUAUUCAUAUAUCGGUGUGUGACCGAUAUAUGUUACCAACGUCUGUAUUGCUAUGUAUAUAUCGGUUAUGACACCUUUAUCGACAUUCAUAUAUCGGUUAAUGACCGAUAUAUGUUACCGACGUCUGUAUUGCUAUGUAUAUAUCGGUUAUGACACCUUUAUCGACAUUCAUAUAUCGGUAUUCAUAUAUCGGUUAAUGACCGAUAUAUGUUACCGACGGAUGUAUUGUACUUAUAUAUCGGUAUUCGAUAUCUGUUACGAUCAUUUAUUUAUAAACGAUAUGUGUUUAUGAUAUUAUGUUUAAAUCCUUGCCCUUGCAGCACAUGGACGCCUACGUGUACAUGCUGAACAAGAGAAUGAAGGAAUCACAUACUUACAAUAAAGAGUUAACAUUGGUUGAUACAACAUUUGUCCAAGCCUUGAAAAGUGAUUGGGAUCUUUAUAAGACUGGCAAAUGGAAGACGUGGGGUGAUCACGACCUCCCUGUUGUAUUUUUUUGGGCGAUGAGACAGGUUACUCCAACCCUUUUUUGAACGCUGAUAACGUGCUCUGCCCUGCAAACAUCGAUAAUAAUCACUGGGUUCUGGUUAGGGUUGAUUUGGGCGCUCAACGUGUUCAUGUUUACUCCUCUACCAAACCUAUUGGUUAUGAAAAUAAGUUUCAAUAUAUGGUAGAGAUGAUACCAAAACUUCUAACAAAAUGUGGAUACGGAGAUUUGAAACCUGGAUUUAUUCUGAAGGAUAAAUGGGAAUUAAAGAUUGAGGACGCUCCGCAGCAAACUGGGGGUGGUGAUUGUGGGAUUUUUGUUCUGAAGUGGAUGGAAUUAAUGGCCCACAACAAACCAAUUGUAGAAAUGACCCAGUCAAAUGCUUCAAAAUUCAGAACUCGAAUGGCUUGGGAGCUUUAUACGUUUGCAAUAUUGGAUGCAAGGGAUUUUGCAGCCAAGAUUGCAGAUAAAACAGACAAAAAGAGAAAUAAAAACUUAACAAUUAUAUUUGUACUUGUAAAUUUACAUUCUUUGCAUAGUACAUAUUGUGUACAGGUUAUUGGAAUAGUUGCAAUGAUUGUUGUCAUUCGUUGAACAUAGUUGUAUUAUAACUGUAAAUUUACCUUAUUGUAAUAAAAAUUUAAAUUUAAUAUAAACUAUAAAUGCAUAUAGAUUAUUGUAAUAUGAUUGGAGAAUUUAAAUAUACAUGCACUGAUAUCGGUUAUGAAACCUAAGUAGGUAAUAAAUAGCUAUACCGAUAUCGGUUCAACAUAUCGACCAAAUACCGAUGUAAAUGACCGAUAUCUUUUUUAUUCUAUUUCAUCGGUACAUACGUCGGUUAUAUGAACCGAUCCUAAUGCAAAGGUUAUUCGUUUGCAAAAUAUCGGCCGAUGAUCGAUUCAAACAAACCAAACCGAUAUCCUCCUCAUUCAUCAUAAUCGGUUAUCGUUCGUCGGUAACGUGACCGAUACAUAAGAACCAAUACCCUAUUACAUAAUUUUGCAUGUCUGUAUAUAACCGAUAUCGGUUUUUAAUUAUAAAUUAAACGUGUUCCUUGUUAGAUCGGUGUCUUAAAAUCGAUAGUGUUAGGACAUGGAUGUGUCGGUUAAUAUAGAUCGGAUAUUAAUGCUAAUAUAUCGGAUUCCAUAUAUAUUGUGUCGGUUACCGAUGGUCGGAUUCCAUACAGAAUUUUGUUUCAUCGGUUUACAUAAAUGGUGAUGAUAACGAUAUGUCAGAACCGAUAUCGAUCACCAUAGAAUUU
Molecule: RNA transcript, 4940 nt
Organism: Diospyros lotus (date-plum)
Lineage: Eukaryota; Viridiplantae; Streptophyta; Magnoliopsida; Ericales; Ebenaceae
Exons: 4
Source: RefSeq, a predicted model, not a curated record